UACGUAGGUGACCAGCGUUGUCCGGAUUUACUGGGCGUAAAGAGCGCGCAGGCGGUCGUUCAAGUCGAGUGUGAAAGCCCCCGGCUCAACUGGGGAGGGUCACUUGAUACUGAUCGACUUGAAGGCAGUAGAGGAGAACGGAAUUCCCGGUGUAGCGGUGAAAUGCGCAGAUAUCGGGAGGAACACCAGUAGCGAAGGCGGUUCUCUGGGCCGGCACUGACGCUGAGGAGCGAAAGCGUGGGGAGCAAACAGG
This 253-nucleotide ribosomal RNA is filed under the name uncultured bacterium. RNAcentral describes it as "partial 16S ribosomal RNA". It matches the Rfam family "Bacterial small subunit ribosomal RNA", at positions 524 to 776 of the family's 1533-position model. The record is from RNAcentral.